Molecule: ribosomal RNA, 468 nt
Filed under: uncultured bacterium
Lineage: Bacteria
Description: partial 16S ribosomal RNA
Rfam family: Bacterial small subunit ribosomal RNA
Source: RNAcentral
GACGAACGCUGGCGGCGUGCCUAACACAUGCAAGUCGAACGGAAAGGCCCUGCUUUUGUGGGGUUCCCGAGUGCCGAUCGCGUGCGUAUCACGUGAGUAUCCUGCCCUUGUCUUUCGGAUAACUUCAGGAAACUGGGGCUAAUAUCGGAUAGGAUCUCCUGCUCCAUGGUGGGGGUUGGAUCGUUUCGGCGGUAGGGGAUGGACUCGCGGCUUAUCAGCUUGUUGGUGGGGUAGUUGCUUACCAAGGCUUUGACGGGUAGCCUGCCUGGGAGGGGGGACGGGGACAAGAGGACUAAGAGACGGCGCAGAGGCGAAUGGGAGGCAGCAGGGGGGAAUAUUGCACAAUGAGCGGGAGCGUGAUGCAAAAACGUUGGGUGCGGAAAGACGGCCUUUGGGUUGAGAACCGCUGUCGCCUGUGACGAAGCGUGAGUGACGGUAAUGAAUAAAGAAGCACCGGCUAACUACGUG